RNAcentral lists this ribosomal RNA (311 nucleotides) under uncultured Lactobacillus sp. RNAcentral describes it as "bacterial SSU rRNA". It matches the Rfam family "Bacterial small subunit ribosomal RNA", at positions 225 to 524 of the family's 1533-position model. Lineage: Bacteria; Bacillati; Bacillota; Bacilli; Lactobacillales; Lactobacillaceae. The record is from RNAcentral.
GGGCCCCCGCGGUGCAUUAGCUAGUUGGUAAAGGUAAAAGGGCUUACCAAGGCGAUGAUGCAUAGCCGAGUUGAGAGACUGAUCGGCCACAUUGGGACUGAGACACGGCCCAAACUCCUACGGGAGGCAGCAGUAGGGAAUCUUCCACAAUGGACGCAAGUCUGAUGGAGCAACGCCGCGUGAGUGAAGAAGGUUUUCGGAUCGUAAAGCUCUGUUGUUGGUGAAGAAGGAUAGAGGUAGUAACUGGCCUUUAUUUGACGGUAAUCAACCAGAAAGUCACGGGCUAACUACGUGCCAGCAGCCGCGGUAAU